RNAcentral lists this ribosomal RNA (1352 nucleotides) under uncultured bacterium. RNAcentral describes it as "bacterial SSU rRNA". It matches the Rfam family "Bacterial small subunit ribosomal RNA", at positions 28 to 1381 of the family's 1533-position model. The record is from RNAcentral.
AUUGAACGCUGGCGGCAUGCCUUACACAUGCAAGUCGAACGGUAACGGGUCCUUCGGGAUGCCGACGAGUGGCGAACGGGUGAGUAAUAUAUCGGAACGUGCCCAGUAGUGGGGGAUAACUGCUCGAAAGAGCAGCUAAUACCGCAUACGACCUGAGGGUGAAAGGGGGGGAUCGCAAGGCCUCUCGCUAUUGGAGCGGCCGAUAUCAGAUUAGCUAGUUGGUGGGGUAAAGGCCUACCAAGGCAACGAUCUGUAGUUGGUCUGAGAGGACGACCAGCCACACUGGGACUGAGACACGGCCCAGACUCCUACGGGAGGCAGCAGUGGGGAAUUUUGGACAAUGGGCGCAAGCCUGAUCCAGCAAUGCCGCGUGCAGGAAGAAGGCCUUCGGGUUGUAAACUGCUUUUGUCAGGGAAGAAAUCUUCUGGGCUAAUACCCCGGGAGGAUGACGGUACCUGAAGAAUAAGCACCGGCUAACUACGUGCCAGCAGCCGCGGUAAUACGUAGGGUGCGAGCGUUAAUCGGAAUUACUGGGCGUAAAGCGUGCGCAGGCGGCUUUGCAAGACAGAUGUGAAAUCCCCGGGCUCAACCUGGGAACUGCAUUUGUGACUGCAAGGCUAGAGUACGGCAGAGGGGGGUGGAAUUCCGCGUGUAGCAGUGAAAUGCGUAGAUAUGCGGAGGAACACCAAUGGCGAAAGCAAUCCCCUGGGCCUGUACUGACGCUCAUGCACGAAAGCGUGGGGAGCAAACAGGAUUAGAUACCCUGGUAGUCCACGCCCUAAACGAUGUCAACUGGUUGUUGGACGGCUUGCUGUUCAGUAACGAAGCUAACGCGUGAAGUUGACCGCCUGGGGAGUACGGCCGCAAGGUUGAAACUCAAAGGGAUUGACGGGGACCCGCACAAGCGGUGGAUGAUGUGGUUUAAUUCGAUGCAACGCGAAAAACCUUACCUACCCUUGACAUGUCAAGAAUUCUGCAGAGAUGUGGAAGUGCUCGAAAGAGAACUUGAACACAGGUGCUGCAUGGCCGUCGUCAGCUCGUGUCGUGAGAUGUUGGGUUAAGUCCCGCAACGAGCGCAACCCUUGUCAUUAGUUGCUACGCAAGAGCACUCUAAUGAGACUGCCGGUGACAAACCGGAGGAAGGUGGGGAUGACGUCAGGUCCUCAUGGCCCUUAUGGGUAGGGCUACACACGUCAUACAAUGGCCGGUACAGAGGGCUGCCAACCCGCGAGGGGGAGCCAAUCCCAGAAAACCGGUCGUAGUCCGGAUCGUAGUCUGCAACUCGACUGCGUGAAGUCGGAAUCGCUAGUAAUCGCGGAUCAGCUUGCCGCGGUGAAUACGUUCCCGGGUCU